GCCUUUGUGGUGUAGUGGUCAGCACGUUCGACGCAUAACCGAGAGGUCCAAGGUUCGAUUCCUGGGGAGGGCA
This 73-nucleotide transfer RNA is filed under the name Stegodyphus mimosarum. It matches the Rfam family "tRNA". From Rfam's summary of the family: Transfer RNA (tRNA) molecules are approximately 80 nucleotides in length. Their secondary structure includes four short double-helical elements and three loops (D, anti-codon, and T loops). Lineage: Eukaryota; Metazoa; Arthropoda; Arachnida; Araneae; Eresidae. The record is from Rfam by way of RNAcentral.